CUUCAGGCAAUUGGGGAAAACACAGGCAAGGAAAGGACCAGGAAAACCAGAGUACUUAAUUUUACAGGAUAUGCAUUCCUCACACCUACAGGACAAUCUACCAUCAACUCUCCUGUAGGAAGGCUUCUAGGAACGGGAGACAGGAGAACACCCCACCCUUAGAUUUGCUCCCCUCACCACACGGUGAUCUACUGCCCUGCUGGAAGGAUUCUGAUGUAUUUUAAUAUAUUAGUAUUGUUUAUUGUGUUUUUGAGGUAUGCACUUGACUAUUACUUGUAAGCUGCCUUGGUAGGAUUUAGAUCUUGAAAGGCGCAUGAGAAAUAUAACUAAUUGUAAUAAAUAAAACAACUAGUUGGCAAUAAUAGUCACAGUUUGA
This is a long non-coding RNA of Podarcis raffonei (Aeolian wall lizard), 376 nucleotides long. RefSeq lists it as uncharacterized. The transcript is spliced from 2 exons. The record is from RefSeq and is a predicted model, not a curated record. Lineage: Eukaryota; Metazoa; Chordata; Lepidosauria; Squamata; Lacertidae.